Lagopus leucura (white-tailed ptarmigan) is the source of this 1276-nucleotide long non-coding RNA. RefSeq lists it as uncharacterized. The record is from RefSeq and is a predicted model, not a curated record. NCBI's taxonomy places the organism in Eukaryota, Metazoa, Chordata, Aves, Galliformes, Phasianidae. The transcript is spliced from 5 exons.
UCACUUACAAACGGCUCCCAGCUGAUUCUGGUGAGUGCUUUCCCAAAGGAUAUUGAAAGCUCUGUAUAAAAGAAGCUCCCACUCCCUAGCUUCUGCUGGUGUUUGGAGAAUGAUGAGUGCUCAGGAAAAGGGCUUCAAGCUGUGUAAGUUAGGGCUUCAUGUUGUUUGAGACCCUUUGGGAGUCUUUAUUUUGUUUACAACGUGUCAGUAGAACAAAAUGUGUGAAGGCCUAAUCUUGAAUGCUUACAAAGGAAGAGACAACCUUCUCCUGCACUUUCCUUCCAAUGGAGUGGCUAACUCUUUAAACACCACAGGGCAUGAGUGUCCAAGCUUGUGACUUGCCUGGGCCACACUGAGAAAAGAGGAAUUGUCUUGUGCUGUAUAUACAUAUGUUGCUCCAAAGCAACAACAGUUUCCAGGGGUAUCUUCAGGAGCUUCAGAUAUGUAGAUGGAACAGACUGUCAAAGCUAAAUUCUCAUGUGUGGACAUUCUGAAAACAGGAAUCAUUUCUGAGAACAACGAGGUCAAAUUAGUUAGCAGCACAACUGAGGUGCUGAUAGCACAUUUUGCACGUUUUUGCCAGGAAAGUAAGUGUCUAAUUCUGGUGGAAGGCAAUUGUGUGCCUGAGGUACAGCAGUCACACAUGAGGAGAUUCGAUGGUCCAGUUAAACGAGCACCCUGAGGCUGGCAGUGCUCAUGUUUUUGUGCUUUAUGUAUAUAUAUAUACAUAAAACAGUGUAGCUAUGAAGCCACAGAGAGCACCUUUGGCAUUCCUUAUGUAUCUGCCAAGUUCAGUUUCAGAAAACUGGACUAGAAUUUCAAUGUUUUUUUUUUCUUCUCCAAGUCCAAACAACAACAUCCAUAUGCUUCACAUUUAAUAAACACUUAAUGAACAUUUAAUAAACGACAGCUGCCAUUUGAACCAACUGCUAGCACAUUUGAGUAAAAAAGAAUUACCCAGAAGAGACAGAAAAGAAGUAAAUAUAGAUUUUUCAGUUUCAAGGCACAUCUAGAAUGUUUGAAAAGUAUUUUUACUUAUCCUUAUACGUACAUAUUCUUCAUUACCACUUCUAGGCCAGGAACCCAGUUAAUUAGAGUUUAUGAUACAAGUAUUCAUUUCAAAGUUUGGCUUCACCUGCUGUUUAUUUUUGUUUUCACCAGCAAAACAGGAAAUGUGACAGAAUGUGCAAACAAGUUUGACAGAAGUCAACUUUUAUUUGUAUCUCAAGCCAAAAAUUCACAUAUAAAUUCUUUGCAAAGGGUAGAUAGGAGGAAA